UUCAAGCUCGUUUUGUGGAUUUUCCUGAAUCGGAUCUGCUGGAUUACUUGGACCCUUCCUCAGGUUGCGUUUAGGUUUUUCAGUUUCAGAAGUUGAAUUUGCCACAGCAUUGUCAACAUUUGCAGCAGGGGUAUGUUCUUGAAUCAGAUCUGCUGGAUUAUUUGCCCCUUUCCUCAAGUUGCGUUUAGGUUUUUCAGUUUCAGAAGUUGAAUUUGCCACACCAUUGUCAACAUUUGCAGCAGGUGAAUGUUCCUGACUCAAAUCUGCUGGAUUACUUGCCCCUUUCCUCAAGUUGCGUUUAGGUUUUUCAGUUUCAGAAGUUGCAUUUGCCACACCAUUGUCAACAUUUGCAGCAGGGGCUCUACGAAUAGUACGCU
RNAcentral lists this long non-coding RNA (377 nucleotides) under Aquilegia coerulea. RNAcentral describes it as "long non-coding RNA (ACOE_LNC002107)". Lineage: Eukaryota; Viridiplantae; Streptophyta; Magnoliopsida; Ranunculales; Ranunculaceae. The record is from RNAcentral.